UCCCCGUUACCGGGGCAGUCUAGCUAGAGAAAUUCAACUAACUAUAAGGGUUGCGCUCGUUAAUGGACUUAACCAAACAUCUCACGACACGAGCUGACGACGGCCAUGCAACACCUGUCACUGCGUUCAAUAAAGCACGUUCACCUUUCGGCAAACUUCGCAGGAUGUCAAACCCUGGUAAGGUUCUUCGCUUACCUUCGAAUUAAAGAACACGCUCCACCGCUUGUGCGGGUCCCCGUCAAUUCCUUUAUGUUUUAAGCUUGCGCUCGUACUCCACAGGCGGGAUGCUUAACGCGUUAGCUUCGCUACUACCAGGGUCGAUACUGAUAACAGCUAGCAUCCAUCGUUUACGGCGUGGACUAC
Molecule: unclassified non-coding RNA, 363 nt
Filed under: uncultured bacterium
Lineage: Bacteria
Description: contains 16S-23S intergenic spacer region
Source: RNAcentral